This is an RNA transcript of Mandrillus leucophaeus (drill), 2537 nucleotides long. It is a transcript of the gene named alpha tubulin acetyltransferase 1, with no coding region annotated. The record is from RefSeq and is a predicted model, not a curated record. Lineage: Eukaryota; Metazoa; Chordata; Mammalia; Primates; Cercopithecidae. The transcript has 12 exons.
AUUGGGUGGUGCUGUGGGGAGAUGAGUGGUCAGGCUUAAGCCAGCCUUGCCAGUGACGCCUGGGACUAGAAGCGGGGGAUGGGCAGCUGUGCCACUCUGUCAAGAUGCCUUUGUGGGUCGCCAUUCCACACUCACAGCAUAGCCCACUUCACUGAGGGGCUAAAAGGUUAGUGAGACACUGGGCCUAGGAAGACUGCGUUGCCAUGGCACUCACUGCCGUGGGAUGCAGAGAUGGGAAUGAGUGGCACUGCUAGGGAUACAGCUGGUUUGGCAAAAAAAAAGGGGGGCCCUGGCAGUUGCCAGGACGCUAGGGGCAGGGUCUACAGGCGGGGCUCCUGGAAAUAAAGACUCCCAGAGGCAGUGCGGCGAAGGGAGGGGCGGAAGUGACGUCGUGUGGGGCGGGUCCAACCGCGCACAAUGGGCCAUGGAGUUCCCGUUCGAUGUGGACGCGCUGUUCCCGGAGCGGAUCACGGUGCUGGACCAGCACCUGAGGCCCCCAGCCCGCCGACCCGGAACCACAACGCCGGCCCGUGUUGAUCUACAGCAGCAAAUUAUGACCAUUAUAGAUGAACUGGGCAAGGCUUCUGCCAAGGCCCAGAAUCUUUCCGCUCCCAUCACUAGUGCAUCAAGGAUGCAGAGUAACCGCCAUGUUGUUUAUAUUCUCAAAGACAGUUCAGGCCGACCGGCUGGAAAAGGAGCCAUUAUUGGGUUCAUCAAAGUUGGAUACAAGAAGCUCUUUGUACUGGAUGAUCGUGAGGCUCAUAAUGAGGUAGAACCACUUUGCAUCCUGGACUUUUAUAUCCAUGAGUCUGUGCAACGCCAUGGCCAUGGGCGAGAACUCUUCCAGUAUAUGUUGCAGAAGGAGCGAGUGGAACCGCACCAACUCGCCAUUGACCGACCCUCACAGAAGCUGCUGAAAUUCCUGAAUAAACACUACAAUCUGGAGACCACAGUGCCACAGGUGAACAACUUUGUGAUCUUUGAAGGCUUCUUUGCCCAUCAACAUCGGCCCCCUGCUCCCUCUCUGAGGGCAACUCGACACUCUCGUGCUGCUGCAGUCGAUCCCACGCCCACUGCUCCAGCAAGGAAGCUGCCACCCAAGAGAGCAGAGGGAGACAUCAAGCCAUACUCCUCUAGUGACCGAGAAUUUCUGAAGGUAGCUGUGGAGCCUCCUUGGCCCCUAAACAGGGCCCCUCGCCGUGCCACACCUCCAGCCCACCCACCCCCCCGAUCCAGCAGCCUGGGAAACUCACCAGAACGAGGUCCCCUCCGCCCCUUUGUGCCAGAGCAGGAGCUGCUGCGUUCCUUGCGCCUCUGCCCCCCACACCCUACCGCCCGCCUUCUGCUGGCUGCUGACCCUGGGGGCAGCCCAGCCCAACGUCGUCGUACCAGCUCCCUUCCCCGCUCUGAGGAGAGUCGAUACUGACAGCUACCCUCUCCCUUCCCUGGGAGACCUGGGGUGGGCAGAGACCCCCUCCCUGAGAACCUCACACCUACUCUUCCAUUGCAUCCUGUAGGACCCAGUGGAACCUGACAGAGCCCACAGGAUUCCCUCUUCUACUUUCUUAGACAAUAGGGAUGUCAGGGUCUCAAAUUGCCUAACACUUUGUAGCUUUUCUUACCACAAAAGCACCCCUUCUGUCCUAACUUGGGCUCUGAAUACUUUCCCCACAGACAGCCUGAUCUGUUGCCAGACCUCUUGGUUGGAUGGCUCAUACAUUUAUCUAGAGAAGCACACUCUUGCUUGCUGUCAAACUUCAGAACACCAUAGAAGGUCUAAGGGCGUCCUGUGUCAGGGAAACUUUUUAAGGAAUUUCAUCCAUGGGAUAAACCCCAUAUUCCCUCUAGUGUCUACGGGUGGCUCUAAUACUGCUUUGUGCUGCCUGCCACACUUGCCCUUUGAGCCUGCGAAUGACCACCAGUGAGCAAGCUCUGCUUCAGAGCAGUCUAGUUAGGUAGAACAGGGACUUACCAGCUUCCCAAAGGGAUCUACUCAACAUUGCCAAACUCUUCAUUUCCACACUUUGUGUAGGUGUCAGGGAACCCCAAACUGGUGUUGCUUUGGGGUCUCUAAAGGAGACUGGCUGACACCACCAUUUCCCCCAGAUCCAGAUUCUCUGAGGGAAGUUGUUUCUUGAGAGUAGAUCCAGAGUCUCAAGGAUCUGUUAGAUCCUGGAAUCCCCUCUUGCAUCCAUCCCUCCCUGGUAGCUAGAUGCCGAUAUACUCCUGUCUUGUGAGAUUGUCGAGAUGAGAUGGGGGACCACUCUUCCUCUGUCCUUCCUCUCUCCUUUUCUCCAUAGCAAGGAUGACCUUCCCUGCUCCAUGCCCAGAGUAUAGCUAGAUCCCUUCCCCUCCCUACCCUCUGAAUGUGUGCUAGAUCAGGUACCCCACUGUGUUUCCUGAAAUCCUUGGGAGCCGGAUCUCCCCUUCUCCCCUACUCACUCUUCCCUUUUCUUCUCCCUCUCAGUGUUGUCUGAAUAAAGUGUGAAUUCUUUUGUGUUUUCUAAAUUGACAUUUUCAAUGAAAAAAAGAAUCAC